RNAcentral lists this unclassified non-coding RNA (526 nucleotides) under Neocucurbitaria keratinophila. RNAcentral's name for it is "sequence contains ITS1, 5.8S rRNA gene, ITS2". The stretch from base 168 to 321 matches the Rfam family "5.8S ribosomal RNA". The record is from RNAcentral. Lineage: Eukaryota; Fungi; Ascomycota; Dothideomycetes; Pleosporales; Cucurbitariaceae.
CUGCGGAAGGAUCAUUACCACAUAUCAUCGGGGGAGAACUUCGGUUCUCCUGUCUGAACCCUUGUCUUUUGCGUACUAUUUGUUUCCUUGGUGGGCUUGCCUGCCGAUAGGACAACCAUUAAACCUUUUGUAAUUGCAAUCAGCGUCAGAAAAAACAUAAUAAUUACAACUUUCAACAACGGAUCUCUUGGUUCUGGCAUCGAUGAAGAACGCAGCGAAAUGCGAAAAGUAGUGUGAAUUGCAGAAUUCAGUGAAUCAUCGAAUCUUUGAACGCACAUUGCGCCCCUUGGUAUUCCAUGGGGCAUGCCUGUUCGAGCGUCAUUUGUACCUUCAAGCUCUGCUUGGUGUUGGGUGUUUGUCCCGCUUUUUUGCGUGGACUCGCCUCAAAGCAAUUGGCAGCCGGCGUACUAGCCUGGGAGCGCAGCACAUUUUGCGCAUCUCGACUUGAACGCUUGCAUCCAUCAAGUUACUUUUUAACUCUUGACCUCGGAUCAGGUAGGGAUACCCGCUGAACUUAAGCAUAUCA